RNAcentral lists this long non-coding RNA (280 nucleotides) under Lathyrus oleraceus (garden pea). RNAcentral's name for it is "Pisum sativum (pea) long non-coding RNA (PSAT_LNC018526)". Lineage: Eukaryota; Viridiplantae; Streptophyta; Magnoliopsida; Fabales; Fabaceae. The record is from RNAcentral.
CUAACUCAUUCAAACCAUUUUAGGCCUUUGUGCCUUUCAAACUUAAAUUUUGUUAAAAUCAACAUAUCCACUUUGAAAUUUGUAGCACGAACUACGAGGUUUUGAUCCCUCAUUUUUAUGUUGGUACGUAGGCACAAGUCCGAAGAUCUUGUCAAACAAAAAAAAUAUAAUUAAUGAAUUCUUUUCUCAUCCCCCCAUUCUAUUUGCUUGUAAACAUCAUUUUGUACAAAAUACAUAUGCCCACAAAAAGGGCUCCCUAGGAGUACCUAGGACACUUUGG